CGGGAACCGUGAGACAGGUGCUGCAUGGCUGUCGUCAGCUCGUGUUGUGAAAUGUUGGGUUAAGUCCCGCAACGAGCGCAACCCUUAUCCUUUGUUGCCAGCGGUCCGGCCGGGAACUCAAAGGAGACUGCCAGUGAUAAACUGGAGGAAGGUGGGGAUGACGUCAAGUCAUCAUGGCCCUUACGACCAGGGCUACACACGUGCUACAAUGGCGCAUACAAAGAGAAGCGACCUCGCGAGAGCAAGCGGACCUCAUAAAGUGCGUCGUAGUCCGGAUUGGAGUCUGCAACUCGACUCCAUGAAGUCGGAAUCGCUAGUAAUCGUGGAUCAGAAUGCCACGGUGAAUACGUUCCCGGGCCUUGUACACACCGCCCGUCACACCAUGGGAGUGGGUUGCAAAAGAAGUAGGUAGCUUAACCUUCGGGAGGGCGCUUACCACUUUGUGAUUCAUGACUGGGGUGAAGUCGUAACAAGGUAACCGUAGGGGAACCUGCGGUUGGA
Molecule: ribosomal RNA, 501 nt
Filed under: Escherichia coli
Lineage: Bacteria; Pseudomonadati; Pseudomonadota; Gammaproteobacteria; Enterobacterales; Enterobacteriaceae
Description: bacterial SSU rRNA
Rfam family: Bacterial small subunit ribosomal RNA
Source: RNAcentral